Molecule: long non-coding RNA, 671 nt
Organism: Fundulus heteroclitus (mummichog)
Lineage: Eukaryota; Metazoa; Chordata; Actinopteri; Cyprinodontiformes; Fundulidae
Exons: 4
Source: RefSeq, a predicted model, not a curated record
UACUAACCCACCUAUGUCUCAUCUUAAAUAGGACUGGAUUUCCCAAAGGAGUCUUCACAUUUACAAGAGGUAAUCAAAAUCUCUUCUUCUGUGUAACUAAGAUUCCUGAGUUGUUACAUUUCCUUUUGCUGUAUCUCAUUAAUAUAAAUCUGUUUUCCUUCUCAAUGCUCAGAUAAUUGAUUCUAAAGUACUGACUUCCAUUCUCUGCGUCUGUUCUGAGAAAUCUCCUUAAGAACCUCCACACCGCUUCUCUGACCGCACUCCUGCCCUUACAUCCUCCAAAGUUGGUUUCACCAAUCAAAAACUUCAAGGACAAAAGACCAAGUUUCUGGAGGCAGAUGCCAGGUUGUUGUCCUCGCACAUGAGUCUGUUUGAAGAAUUCUCCCUAAGACUCUCCACACCACUCCUCUGGCCACCCUCCUGACUCAAAGGCUCAUCUGUAACUUAUUGGUCACUCACCUCCUGGUGCACUCUCCAUCGCCCAAACCUCCAACCUUGAAGAGAAGGACAGAAAGAGACAAUAACUACUUCAACCAAUCAUCAAUCUGUUGCCAACCUCAGCCUCUGCUGAUGAGUUCACCACCUGUGCACCAUGCCGUCCUGGAUUCUUGAUCUAAAACAAGAAGAAUCAUCUCACUGUGCAGAUUUACCAAUAAACCUUUCAAACUUUC